This 92-nucleotide microRNA precursor is filed under the name Pelobates cultripes (western spadefoot toad). The record is from RNAcentral. Lineage: Eukaryota; Metazoa; Chordata; Amphibia; Anura; Pelobatidae.
UGUGUGUGUGUGUCUGUGAGUGUGUGUGUGUACGCAUAUAUAUAUAUAAAUAUAUAUAUAUACACACACACACACACACACACACACACAGA